AACGACCUGAGAUGUGCGUGACCUCAGAUAAUUCAACCACAUAGAUUACUAGGGAGUCUACGUUUAGUAAGCUAUAAAAUGCCUUAGUCCUAGCGGACUUUGGACUUUAGAAUUUAUUAACCGGACACCCACCUGAAAAGAGGCGGGUGUGAAUUAAAUGAGGGAACGGCAUAUCGGGUUAAAA
This 184-nucleotide non-coding RNA is filed under the name Tissierellia bacterium. Its description in RNAcentral is "6S RNA". It matches the Rfam family "6S / SsrS RNA". From Rfam's summary of the family: E. coli 6S RNA was the first non coding RNA to be sequenced, but its function was unknown until recently. It consists of 184 nucleotides that fold into an extended hairpin structure with a large single-stranded internal bulge. RNAcentral also lists the same sequence under 1 other name. The record is from RNAcentral. Lineage: Bacteria; Bacillati; Bacillota; Tissierellia.